Long non-coding RNA from Felis catus (domestic cat), 7460 nucleotides. RefSeq lists it as uncharacterized. Lineage: Eukaryota; Metazoa; Chordata; Mammalia; Carnivora; Felidae. The record is from RefSeq and is a predicted model, not a curated record. The transcript is spliced from 3 exons.
CCGCUAGCUUCAGAGAGGUCUCAUUAUUUAAUUAUCUUAUUAUAUUUCUUCUUAUUUCAUUAACUUCUGUAUUAUUGUCGUGAACUCCUUUUUUACUUUGAAGAACUACUGAAAUUAAACGUUUCAGUAUUUUUAAAUCUUUUUGAAAGGAAAUGCAUUUAAAGCUAUACAUUGUCCUCAGAGUGCUUCUUUGGCUAUAUUUUACGGGUUUUGAUGUAUAACGUUCUCAAUUACAUUCACUUUGAAUAGCUUUCAAUUUUACCUUAGAUUUCUUUUGACACUGUUUUUUAUUUUAACAUGUUAACUUUACUUUUGGGGAAAGAAGCUACCCUUUUAUUCUUUGUAUCUGGAUCUGGUCUAUAUAUGAGCUGGUUAUGAUUUGUACACUUUCAAAUUAAGAUGUUAUUGGGAGAAAAGGAUACAGUUGAUUUUUAUAAAAUUUCCUCACGUUUUUGAAAAUGUGCAUUGUUUUGGAUUGAAACGGUAUGUUCAUAUUUUAUAUUUUAUAUCUCUUGCUGUACAAUCACAAUUGUGAAUUUUAUUUACAUCCUUGCUUUUUUAUGUUUUCAUUCUUUCAAUUUUUAAAAUAAGUUGUUGAAGUGCCACCGUGUUUUUGACAAUUAGAGCAAGGCAAAUUCUGCACUUUUAUAUCUUCUCUGGGUUCCCAAUAAACUGAGAACAGAGCCAGAUGAGUGCCAAGAGCAGGGAUGGCUUUAUUAUAGAGAACUAGUUUUGUGCCUAAGGGCAAAUGGAAUUGUCCUUUCCUUCUUCAUUGAAUUGAGGAAACUUGGUCUUGCCGCCUAGGAUGACCAAGUUACAUACUCAGCUGAAAGCUAGACACUUAGGAACAAAAGAGUAGAGUGCCAGAGGUAGAAAUGUGCAAAGUCCCACAAUGGUAAGGCACAGACAUGUUUUAAAAAGAGCCAAGUAAAUGAGAACACGCUCUUUCUGCUUGAAUUGGGGGGGGGGGGUAUCCGGAUGUCACUUUCUCCACUUUCCACUGGUCAGAUUAUUCUCUCUCAGAUAGAAAACUGCACAUGAAGGAGAUGAAGGAGGGGAAGGAGAAACCAGCCAGGGGUGGGAUCAGCUCCCUUACUUCUCUGUAGACACGAGAAACAAGGAGACUGUGGCUUGCAGUUCCAGAGCAGAGAUGUUGUUGUUCUCCAUGGAAGUGAAUUGAUGCCCCUCCGGGAGUCUGGAUGCUAUCAAGAUGAAAAAGGUUCAGUGUUUCUUCCAGAAGCAGUAAAUCAGAUCCUUUGUGAGUUGUGCACUCAAUCUCUUUCUCUUUCUUUCUUUGAGGAGUGGCCAAGCCAGAGUGAUGCUCCUGUCUUCGCUCCUUGGAAUGAAGGUGGGGAAGGAUGCCCGAGUCACCAAGUCCCCUCCUCCAGACCCACAGGCCUGCUGGCUUCCAUUUGGCUUACAAGUGCCCAAAUACCCAGAGCUGCCCUUCACUCCCCUCCAGAAUCCCUCCCAUGCCCUCACAUCCUUUCUGGAACAGACUGGCUUCCUCUUGCCUUAUCUCCACGUUCCAAUGCUUGGGGGUCUUCUCUGUUCCACUUCACUAGGAAUGAGUGAGGCCUCAUCUGGUGAGCCGGGCCAUGCUGAUGUACUCCCUUCUUGUGUGUUCUCCCAGGCAAAAUGCCUGGGCCCACCAUGGCACUCUUCUUUAGGAGGGCCUUCCAAUGUCUUUGGGAGGCCUGGUGGCAGGAGUUCCAUCGGUGUUAACUUCAGCAAUGAAAUUAACAGUGAUGAAGGUGUAAUCGUCUUCAUUCGGAAGUUAAUUGUGUAAAUAUCAGUGAAUGUUUUGGAGUUCGGGUGCCUGGUAACUUCAGUGGGAGCCAGCGUCCCCAUACAUUGCUACAAAGUCCAUCUUGGCCUACAUGAAUGGAGAGAUGGAGUGUGGAUCAGAGGAGCUAACUCUGCUGUCCUCUGUGCUGGCUUCUUGGUCCGGAACCUCAUAAUUCACCUGUCGAUUGCACUAUAGAAAGAACCUUGAAAACGAAUCCAAGAGACAGUGAUGAACAUUUUGAGGAAUCUAGAAACCAUGCUGCACGGAGGCGCUGCCCUUCUCGGAAGGUUAAAAGCUAAGCCGGCUCUGUAGGAAGCAGCUCCAGUGUUUAGCCAAGUCUGGUGGAGUCACUUGCCCUGCCUCCGUGCAGUGAACUUGAGUCGGCGCUUUUCCACUCUGCGGAUGGGAAGCUUGGCAGUAAACCGGCAGACUAGUCUGAUGGCACCGAGCAGGGCUUUGGAGGCUGACGUUCACACCACAGCAUCUUCAGGACCCACAGCCUUUUCAUGCAGAUACGCAGGAAUAAGACUCCUUCCAUGUGCCUUACCCGGCAGAUUCUAAAGGAAAGAGAAAAGCAGAAGGAAAGGAACACUGGUGUUGAAUUUACUAAGAAAAGCAAGUUCCAGUGGAAUCCUGAAGUUGGUCCUCAUUCUUCCCGCUAAUCUACGCUUUUAUUUUGCUUACAUUUUAAAACUUCUAUUUUGAUAUAAUUUUUACGUACAAAGAACGGGGGAAAAAGAGUGCAAAGCCUUUCUGUGUACCUUUUGCCCAAAUUUCUCAGAUGUUAGAGUCUCAUGUAACAUGAGACCAAUGACCAAAGUCAGGAGAUUAACUCGAUGUGAUGCUAGUCUAAUCUACAAGCCUUAUGCGGAUUUUACCAGUUUUCCCACAAAUGUCCCUUUUCUCGUCCAGGUCCCAAAUCAGCCUCAUAUGUUGGAUUCAGAUGUAUUCUGAACCAUCUGACUAUUCACAUGGAACAGUCUUAUCUACGCCUUCGGCAAAUUUAAUUCUAGAGAAGGAGAAUGUACCCAUUAGAGAAUUACCGAGUGUCUGCUUGGCCUGGGCUGUGCCCUGCUCGGGAUGAGGUGAUACCACAUGGAAAAGGAGAGACACCAUCCCUGCCAUCUGAAGGUUCUUAGUCUCGUGUUGAACACAGACAAUAAAACCAGCAGUUUCCAUGCAGAAUACCACUUACCAUUAAAAGGAAUGAAGGGAACAUACUGGUUGGGAGGGGAGACACUUAACCCAAUUGGGAAGAUGUGAGAAGAGAUUUCUGGAAAAGAUGAUAUUGGAGUUGAGGCCCAUGGGAUGAGUAGGAGUUACGCAGGCUGGGAGAAGGUCAUUGUGGUGUGAGAUCUUACAGGCAGUGGCAAUGGCAUUGGUGAAAUUCCAGUAGCAUAGGACAAUCUGCUCUGAACACUGACCUGAAAUGCUUUCUGGCAUCUGGACAUGAGACAUGAUGUGGGGAGAGGUGUGCAUGGGGCUGGAGAGGCAGGGAAUGGUCAAGUGUGCAAAGGCUUGGAAGUUGUAUGAAGGGUUUAUUUUUGACCACAGAGCAAUGGCCAGACAUUGAAUAAUGUUUUGUAUAGGAGGAUGGUGACCAUGUUUGUGUUUGAAAAGACUACAAGAGAUGAUGUUGGCCUGAAUCAAGAUGGAGCAGUGGAUAUAGAGACACAUAAAAAAACCCCAAGAUUUGGAGGAAGCAGGAUUGAUAGGAUGUAGAGGUUGGUUGGAUGGAGAUGUAGAGAUUGGUUGGAUGUAGAGAUUUGGCUGUGUGGACAGGGUGAGGGAGAGGCAGUGAUCAAAGGUGAAGCCCAGGCUCUGGCUUUGGCAAUGAGUGGAAAUUGGUGCCUUGUACCUUCUCGAAGAUAGAAGACACAAUGGAAGGAAUGGUUUCGAGGGUGACUCUCACGCUGAAGUGCUUGGGUAACCUGUGUGAAGUCCCAAUCCAAGGCUGUUGGCUUUAUUGCAUGCCUCCUAACUCUUGUUAAUCCAGCAAGCCACUGGGUGUGAAAUUGUGAAAUACACAUUCAGGCGCUCUUGAGAAGCAGACUUCAUAUGCCCUGGUGCCCAUCACUGGAGAGCCCACAGCCACGGCUGCCCCAGUAUUGGGAAGACACUGCAAUAAGGUGGAGCCCAAACCUGGGCAGUGAUUUCUGUUGUGAUCUUAUUCAGCUGGGAGAGCAGGAGAGACUGGGUUCGAUCCUGUCGAGAUGGGGUUAGGAGAGCACCAUAGAUAACGGGAGCCAUCCCAACACCACAGAGGGGUUUGCUGAGAGUAGAGGAGCAGAGGUCCAGGCCAGAACAGGCAAUUGGCUGGGAUAUUAGGACUUAGGAAAAUGCCAGGAAGUGGAGGAGGGACAUCCUUUCCUCCAACCUGUCAGACAAGGGCCACGAGGGGCAAGAGAACUAGUCAACAUAGAGCUCUUUGUACAUGGAAGCCCCCACAAUAGUUUCUGUUCUGCCAUUUGCUGAUGAGGAAGGUAGGGUUCCAUGAGGUUAAUGACCUGCUCAAGGUCACAUAGUAAGUGUAGAGCCACAACUUUGACAAAACCCUGACCCUAUAGCUCUUUCCUCUGCUCUAUGCCACUGAUAUGAAGUGGAAACUCCUGGUCCAGUUUAAGCAACUGUCAAAACUGUCUAGGUGUGGGCAGGUGGGGGAUGCCUGAACAGAAAGAGCAAAGAGAAAGUUUAUUGUUGCCACCCUGAAGUAGUCACUGGCACAAUGCAAAGCUCUGGCCGUCAUCGGGAAUAUCCCUCCUGAAGAGGGAAAAGAGUUGGACAAGACCUAAUUCCAGGGAAUAGAGUUGAGGGCGCAGCAGGAAGGACGGUCACACAGCAUUGCACGGGGAACAAGCUGGCCUCUGGCACGCAGAGCCCAGCCAAAAAAGUCACAAGUCAGGCUGGCCGGGUCUGGUGUGAGACCCUGUCCCGAUGCUCCCUCCUCAUCCUUGAUUCAGGGUCUGUUCUUGACCCACUGCAAGGCUAGUCUUGAGUAAGAGCUGAUCUAGAAGCAGCGAGGCACCAACUCCAGGAGUCUUGUUGAUGCUUAUGGAAGCGGCCUUUUCCCUUUUGACCCAUAUUCACCCCGGUUUGCAGACUUGCUCCAUUCCGACAGGCUAGGCUGGAAGCACUUAAGAAGAAGAAAUCUCAGCUGGACUCUUCCUCUCCUUCCAGCAUUGGGAGAGAGGGAAGUGUGCUCCCCCCAGCAGUCAGUCAGCCUCUCGGUGGCUCAGCUGGAGGGGGAAAUCUAGGCAGGGGGUGUGUGGGGGUGCAAUUUGGCUUAACUAAAUCUUAUGGGGGGCACUAAGAACAGGGGAAAAAGCAGGACUGGAAUGUGAAGAGUGGGCGGGGAACGACUUGGCCUGCCCCAGUUUCUCAUCUGCCAGGACUGUAGCUGAAUGCUAUCAGGUAGCAUUAAUUGACAUUCAAGGUCACUGCGUCCCCUCUCCAUGCUUGGAUAAACUCACUGCCCACAGAUUGGCAUCCAGUCUGUGCUCACAGCCUGAUUGCAGACCUAAGAGGCAGGAAUGUUGGCUAGCCUGGCAAGGGAGAAAGAUAUUCCUGGUUGGAUGCAGGACUUCUUCAGCUAUCAGAUACCCUGGGACCUCCGCUCCAAGGAGCUUUUGGACCAGGUAGAGAGAGCACAGACAAGCAGCCACAACUUGAAAUGUAUUUAUGGACUGACAGUCCACAACAAAUAUCUGGGCAGCAUCCCUAAAAAAAUGAGUCAGGGGUCUCCUAUGCAGAAUCUGGGGGUGGAAGUGAGCAAUGUGAAUAUUUUUGUGUGUGCGCUAAAAUCUGCUUUUUGUCUUGGGAAAAGAACCUCAAGCUUCUUCGAUCCCUUUCUAUCAUGUAUCCUUGGCAGCUCUGGGAGAUAUUUUCCCUAUUAAACAAACCAACAGCUGCUGGUUUUGGCUACAGUUUGCUUUCCUCAGUUCUUGGGCGGAAAGAAGAUGUUCAGCUGUCCUCAAGAGCUAUCAGUGGAAAUCAAAAUAAAAAACCCAGAACAGAUGGGCCUAGAGGAUGGAAACCCCAAAGGGCACUGUGGGUUCCCAUCCUCAGUAGAAAGCUGCAAAUGCUCAACGGUUAUAGGGUUCUCCUCCUGCCCAGGCCUGGCCUCGUGUGCUCAACUCCAUACUGAGGGGAUGUGUGGUGUUCCUCCCAUCUGAACUUUCAGGAUAGAGGGCAUGGGUCGAGUGGAAGAUUUCUGUGAGGAGACAGUGAGCAAAGGCACUGGGAAAUUUCCUGGAUCGAAACCCAUCACAUCACCAAUUUUCCCACAGCUGACUCAUUUCUUCAGGUAUCAAUUUCUCCACCUCUGGGUUCUGAUUUGAACCAACAAAACAGCAGUUAAUAUCUGUAUUAUUAUUUUCUAUAUGCCAGGCACUGUAUUAUAAAUUUGCAAGGUCAUGCUUACUCCUUGCCUUAUUGCGCUAUACUCAUUUUCUUGAUUAGAAAGUUCAAGCUUGCGGCGUGCCUGGGUGGCUCAGUUGGUUAAGUGUCUGACUCUUGAUUUCAACUCUGGUCAUGAUCUCGUGGUCACGGAAUGGAGCCUCAUGUCAGACCCCGGGCUGGGCACAGAGCUUGCUUAGGAUUCUUUCUCAACAUCUUCCUCUGCCCCCUCACCUCAAAAAAAAAAAAAAAAAGUUGAAGCUUGGACAAGCCAAAUAAUUUACUCAAAGUCAGAGUUAGUAUUGACAUUCCUGCUUAGUCCAACCACUAAAAAUACCUAAAUACUUACACUGCCUACCUGAGAAGACUGAUGCCAUUCAUUCAAUACAUAUAGGUAAAUGCCUAACAGCACACACACAUACAGAGCAAAUCGUACUCAGCAGAAAUAUACGUCCAUUUACCCCACAGACAAGGAAAUGAACAUCAAGAUGGCCACACAACCAAAGAUCCCCAAACACUGGGGGAAAAUCAGCAUCACCGGAGGAACAUGAAAUUACAUCAGAAUUACAUUGAAAUUAUAAUUAUAUGAAGAAGAUGUUGCCUUAGGAAGCAAAGUUUAGAGCAUCAGGAAAUUUUUUAGAAUCAGUAUAAUUAAUGUUGACGUAUGAAAAAAUGUUGAAGAGAUUUAAUUUAUAUAUAAAUUAAAACAGAAAUCUUAGAGAGCUGGAGAACAAAGUAAGAACAAUGACAUAAAAAAGCGUGUUAAAGAGCAGAACUGAUAUAGCUGCAAUUUGAAUUUGUAAGCUGGAGGGCGGCAACAAAGAAUUCUUCCAAAAUGUAGCCCCAGAAGACAAAGAGCCACAACAUAUUAAUGAAGCAGUAAGACACAGUAGGUUUAUCAAAGAGUUUCAAAUCCUGUCUAAAUGAACUUGCAAAAGGAAAGAAACACAAAACAGAGGCUUGAAGGGAAGAAAUAAAUAAGACGGAUUUUCAGAGAGGAAAACAUGAGUCCUUAAAUUGAAAUAGCCCACUGAGUGUUAAGCAGGACAAAUGUAACAGGAAUGACACAUGCAUGCACUGUGGUGGUGACAUUUCAGAAAACUAACGAUGCAAACCGUGUCUUACAGGCCAAUGAAGCUGAGUGAAAGAGAAGAUAGUUUCUCUAGAAAGAAAUGAACACCAGGUUGGAAUCCAAUUUCUCAGAAGCAGGAGAGGAUUUCUGAAAGCCAUGAGGCAAUCUUUUCUUUUUUUUUUUUUAAUUUUUUUUUUCAACGUU